GACUUAAGCAUAUCAAUAAGCGGAGGAAAAGAAACCAACAGGGAUUGCUUCAGUAACGGCGAGUGAAGCGGCAACAGCUCAAAUUUGAAAUCUGGCCCUUUCGGGGUCCGAGUUGUAAUUUGUAGAGAGUGUUUCGGGGGAGACCACGGUCUAAGUCCAUUGGAACAUGGCGUCAUAGAGGGUGAGAAUCCCGUAUGUGACCGUGGAUCGAGCCCAUGUGAAGCCUCUUCGACGAGUCGAGUUGUUUGGGAAUGCAGCUCAAAAUGGGUGGUAAAUUUCAUCUAAAGCUAAAUACUGGCUGGAGACCGAUAGCGCACAAGUAGAGUGAUCGAAAGAUGAAAAGCACUUUGGAAAGAGAGUCAAACAGUACGUGAAAUUGUUGAAAGGGAAGCGCUUGCAACCAGACCUGCCCGUAGGCGAUCAGCCGCUGUUCUCAGUGGUGCACUCGCUCUGCGAUCAGGCCAGCAUCGGUUCGGGCGGCCGGAUAAAGGCCUUGGGAAUGUAGCUCCCUCCGGGGAUCUUAUAGCCCUCGGUGCAAUGCGGCCAGCCGGGACCGAGGACCGCGCUUCGGCUUAGGAUGCUGGCGUAAU
RNAcentral lists this ribosomal RNA (590 nucleotides) under Evernia prunastri. RNAcentral's name for it is "LSU rRNA". It matches the Rfam family "Eukaryotic large subunit ribosomal RNA", at positions 31 to 635 of the family's 3401-position model. Lineage: Eukaryota; Fungi; Ascomycota; Lecanoromycetes; Lecanorales; Parmeliaceae. The record is from RNAcentral.